This is a long non-coding RNA of Heterocephalus glaber (naked mole-rat), 1152 nucleotides long. Lineage: Eukaryota; Metazoa; Chordata; Mammalia; Rodentia; Bathyergidae. The record is from Ensembl.
CUGUUAGCGUCAGGGGCCUCUCCUGUCAUUAUCCUUUUCCCAGGGUUGGAGUGGGCUCUGGGAGGGGAGUCACCCCUUCCACUCACCAGGGGACAGUGACCAUCCCCUCUCCGGGCACAGUCUGCAGCCCAGCCUUUGCCGCUGCCACCCAUGCCUCCUUCAUCUGCAGCGCACACCGUCCUCACCCUCCCUUCUCUUCCCUCCUCAAGGUCAGACUCAAGCUUCCUCACAGCUUCCCCUUCUUGUCCCCUGGGACUAGCGGAAGAGUGACAGGACUAACCACCAUCCUGGCCUGUCCUCCUGCUGCUCCCACAGAGGCAGAGCCAGAGGAGGCCCUGAGCUAUUUCUCCUCUGAGAUGCCUCUCUGCCAUGUCACCCUGCCUUGGGACCAGCUGACAAUGGACUGAUACCUCUACAAACUAAUGGGAAAAUAAUUUUGCCAGCGAUUCCUCAGAAAGAAUGGCACCAGGUUGGGUCUGCGAGGUUCCCACAACUGAAAUAAGGAAAUGAAGACACUUCACAGAAAAAGUACCAAUGACCAAUACAUGAAGAAAUGAUCACCUUUUGCAGCAGGUUUGCUGACUCCCAUCACAGAAAAAGAAUUUUUAGGAUGUGUGAAGAGGCAUGAGAAGGGUUUAUUAGACACUGAUUUUAGGAUGUAUUCAAGCAUGAAUUGCAGGUGCUCAGAGAAAAAUGAGAUGCAUUAUGAUCCAGAGCUGGUAUACUUAGGGGGCCUUGGGGGUAUCUUCAAGAUGAAUGAUCUAGGUUGUGUGUUUCUACUGUCUGUCAGGUUACCCAUCUUGCAGAUUAUGUCAGAAUGCAAGCCAUCUACAUGUGUUUGAAUUUCAUAUAUGCUGCCUACCAAUACUGCUAUUUCCUGAGGGUGGAGGAAGUGCAGCUUACAGGUGAAAAGUAUAGGUCUAGAGCCCAAUUUAUAGGCUUAUUGUGUUUUUAAGGUCUUUAGGAAUUUUUUUGAGAUUUUUGGAAGGGGAAAAGCUUGAGUAACUUUUGCGUCUUAAAAACUAAAACUAAAUAUAAUUGUAAAAUCUUGAUUUUUUUUGUUUUCCUUUUGCCUAUUUUUAAUUUGUUCUAUACCACCUCAAGAGGACUAAUAUUUAGAAUACAUAAAGAACUAAAAAAAAUUAGACCCCC